AUGGCGCCACCGUCCACACGCGCGGCGCUCGAGAACCUGACGCUGGCGGACGCCGAUGCACUCGACUGCGGUGUCUGCUGCCUCCCGCUCAAGCCGCCCAUCUUCCAGUGCGGGGUGGGGCACGCGCUGUGCGAGCAGUGUCGCGGUAAGCUGGCCUCGGCGCGGACCUGCCACGUGUGUCGCGCCCCGAUGGCCGACGGCUACCGCCGGAACCACGACUUGGAGCGGCUGGUGGAGCCCAUCCGCGCGCCCUGCCCCAACGCCGCCUACGGACGCGCCGCCAGACCGGUCUACUACGACGGGCCCCGCCACCUCGAAGACUGCCUCCACGCGCCGUGCCACUGCCCCGAGGAGGCCUGCGGCUUCGUCGGCUCGACGGAGAUGCUGCUGGCCCACUUCGCCGGAGAACACGAGUGGCCGUGCACCACCGGCGCCCGCGCCGGGGAGUCCUUCUCCGUGGACCUCGAGGACGGCUUCAACGUCGUCAUCGUCGGGGACGGCGCCAGGGAGCUGCUGUUCCUGGUGAUGGUGUCGCCCGUGUCCCUCGGACGCGCCGUCUCCGCUGUAUGCGUGUGCCCCCGAACUGACGGCGGCGACGAGAUCUUCUACGGGGUCGAGCUCGAGUUCGAAAGAUUAGGCGGCUGGUAUGGUGAGCGCCUGAAAUCUUUCUUCAACGUGGAAUGCACGAAUCUCUCCAGUGGCCUACCCGAUCCCGACCACCGCUUCCAGUUCCUCCUGCCCAAUUCUGUCAAGCCAUAUGAGGCAGAAACUAUCAACAUCCAAGCCUGCAUUUACACCCAGAUACAGUAA
RNAcentral lists this ribosomal RNA (810 nucleotides) under Triticum aestivum (bread wheat). RNAcentral's name for it is "partial small subunit ribosomal RNA". The record is from RNAcentral. Lineage: Eukaryota; Viridiplantae; Streptophyta; Magnoliopsida; Poales; Poaceae.